Molecule: unclassified non-coding RNA, 148 nt
Organism: Macaca fascicularis (crab-eating macaque)
Lineage: Eukaryota; Metazoa; Chordata; Mammalia; Primates; Cercopithecidae
Rfam family: Metazoan signal recognition particle RNA
About the family: The signal recognition particle (SRP) is a universally conserved ribonucleoprotein. It is involved in the co-translational targeting of proteins to membranes.
Source: Ensembl
GCUGGGUGUGGUGGUGCUCACCUGUAGCCCCAGCUUCUUGGGAGGCUGAGGUAGGAGGAUCACUUGAGCCCAGGAGGUCAAGGCUACAGUGAGCUAUGACUGUACCACUGUACUCCAGCCUGAGCAACAGAGUGAGACCCUGCCUUAA